GCAACUGCGGUCCUGCGGUAGUGCGGCCCCGACUGUGUCCCGAGCGAGAUGAGCGGGCCUCCAGUCCAUAGCCAGGGGUGUGGGCGCCUUUAUACUUCUCCUCCGUAAAGGCGAUCCAGACUCACAUAACAUCUGUACCCAAAGCAGUGUCAUGAGCGGUGCUAAACGAAACGAGAGACGGGCCAGAAUUGCUAUGGUUCGCUCUCCAGUUCAGCUACUCUUAUGACACGGCUUCUCGGGUUGGCUGGCGUUGUCAACGCUUCGCUGUUCAGCGGGGCGGGGCUGGCGGCCGGCGGUUCACCUAGCUCGUAGAGACAGUCGGACCAUGCUAAGCUCUUUCUUCUUCUAGGCUUUCUCAGGUUAUAUAAUGAACGUUCAUAUAAGCUGAGAAAGCGGACCAGAAAUAUUUUGAUACAUUCCUUUUCCGUUUACCCUUCUUAUUAUUGGGCUCUUUGGAGAUUGCGGGGAUUGAUGGCGGUGAUUUCGUGUCCUGCUAUCAACCCCGUCCCUUUCUUCAGCCAGCCAAGAGUUCAAUUUAGGUCCUCAAUCCCCUCUCGAAAUAUUUCUGGUCCUUCACUUCCAAGGAAAUAAGUAUGGGUUAACUUGUAUGAUGGCUGGUUCGGGUGUGGCCUGAGGAGUCGUCCUUCGGGUCGGUGCUCAGUCUCCUCAGCACGUACCAAAACCAGUUUACGAGCUAGCCGUAUUUAUUUCUUAAGUACUUGCAACAACAGUCUGCAUUAAAGUUGCUUAAGGUCUUUAAUGUAGCUGUCGUUGUGACUACAGAGAUAUACAUUUGUGUGACACCAUCUUACACAAGUGUAUAUGCGCAUGGAUGUUUAAUUUAUCAGUUAUCUUAAAUAUUCAUGCUGUUAUUUUUGUAUACCAAUAUUAAGAACAUUUUCAAAGAGCUGGAGGAAAUAAAAAAAUAAUAACCAAUAUUGGACUUUUAU
Trichoplusia ni (cabbage looper) is the source of this 950-nucleotide long non-coding RNA. RefSeq lists it as uncharacterized. The transcript has 3 exons. NCBI's taxonomy places the organism in Eukaryota, Metazoa, Arthropoda, Insecta, Lepidoptera, Noctuidae. The record is from RefSeq and is a predicted model, not a curated record.